GAUGAACGCUGGCGGCGUGCCUAAUACAUGCAAGUCGAGCGAACGGACGAGAAGCUUGCUUUUCUGAUGUUAGCGGCGGACGGGUGAGUAACACGUGGAUAACCUACCUAUAAGACUGGGAUAACUUCGGGAAACCGGAGCUAACACCGGAUAAUAUUUUGAACCGCAUGGUUCAAAAGUGAAAGACGGUCUUGCUGUCACUUAUAGAUGGAUCCGCGCUGCAUUAGCUAGUUGGUAAGGUAACGGCUUACCACGGCAACGAUGCAUAGCCGACGUGAGAGGGUGAUAGGCCACACGGGAACGGAGACGCGGACCAGACUCCUACGAGACGCAGCAGUAGGGAAUCUUCCGCAAUGGGCGAAAGCCUGACGGAGCAACGCCGCGUGAGUGAUGAAGGUCUUCGGAUCGUAAAACUCUGUUAUUAGGGAAGAACAGAUGUGUAAGUAACUGUGCACAUCUUGACGGUACUGAAUCAGAAAGCCACGGCUAACUACGUG
Molecule: ribosomal RNA, 497 nt
Filed under: uncultured bacterium
Lineage: Bacteria
Description: partial 16S ribosomal RNA
Rfam family: Bacterial small subunit ribosomal RNA
Source: RNAcentral